AGAGUUUGAUCCUGGCUCAGAAUCAACGCUGGCGGCGCGCCUAACACAUGCAAGUCGAACGAGAAAGGGGAGCAAUCCCUGAGUACAGUGGCGUACGGGUGAGUAACACGUGGGUAAUCUACCUUCUGGUGGGGAAUAACUCUGGGAAACCGGAGAUAAUACCGCAUAAGUCCGAGAGGGGAAAGCAGCAAUGCGCCGGA
Molecule: ribosomal RNA, 200 nt
Filed under: uncultured bacterium
Lineage: Bacteria
Description: partial 16S ribosomal RNA
Rfam family: Bacterial small subunit ribosomal RNA
Source: RNAcentral